UGUCCCUUCUACUCAAUCUUUUAAUUUUCUAUGGAAUGGUCUCUUUAAAUUUUUUCAUUUGGGCAUUUAGUUGUCUGUCCUUUGAAUUAUGAUCUCUGUUCUCUUCUUUCACUCUCAGCAUCUUCCAAUUUUUAUCAAUUCAUAAAAGAUAUUUCUUUUUCCCAUUCAUAUCGGCUACUAGUCAAUUUGUUAUAAAUAAUAUUAUGUAACGAUUAUUAUGGUCUUUAUGAUGUCUGACUUGCAGUGAAAUUAAUUAAACAAAUGGACCAACGUCGCCACACUCUCACUGUACAAAUAGUCAAUGUCACAAUGGUAUCAUCUUAGAUCUAAUAUUAAAUCUAUAUCGUUCAAUAAUCAACAAUACACAGGAAACUACUAAUUC
This 382-nucleotide long non-coding RNA is filed under the name Mytilus galloprovincialis (Mediterranean mussel). Lineage: Eukaryota; Metazoa; Mollusca; Bivalvia; Mytilida; Mytilidae. The record is from RNAcentral.